Molecule: non-coding RNA, 20 nt
Filed under: Mus musculus (house mouse)
Lineage: Eukaryota; Metazoa; Chordata; Mammalia; Rodentia; Muridae
Source: RNAcentral
UCCAGCCAGGCCCUUUGUAG